AUGCCAUGUUACGGGAAUGCACUUCAACAUGUGUUUACUACCCUGAGAUGUAAGGAAAUCCCUGGAGAUCUAUGGUCAAGAGUCUGGAGAAUCUUUGUCAUCACUCAUUGUGGUGAGAUGUCAUCAAUGGAAGCCCUUUGGGUGGAAAGAGUCUACGUUUCUUUUAACAGCUGGAGGUGCAGGGAAAUUCCUGGGAUCAUCAUGGCCCUGAGUCUUCCAGAAUUUGUUGCCUAUGAAUGA
RNAcentral lists this long non-coding RNA (240 nucleotides) under Dasypus novemcinctus (nine-banded armadillo). RNAcentral's name for it is "lncRNA (ENSDNOG00000049999.1)". The record is from RNAcentral. Lineage: Eukaryota; Metazoa; Chordata; Mammalia; Cingulata; Dasypodidae.